GGUUUCUGUGGAUAUAUGCACUACUUCCUACUGGCCCAUUCCCCACCAGGGGUAGACAGAGCUGCCCAUCACAGGGUGUCACUCCACCACGGAGCCUGAACUGUUCCCACACCUCCCUGCCUUGGGAGCCCAAGGGCUUGGAUGCUUGUUUUGCUAAUAUUUAUGUCCAAAAGUGUUCACCAAAAAUAGGUGGGCCCUGCCAAGUUCGUCAAAAUAGAGGAGGAGGGCUGCUUCCAUUAAACUGUGUGUCUGGAGGAAAGGCCGUUUAACGAGUCAUCUUAUCUAAGCAAGAGCAGAGGCAAAAAUGUGUCUCCUGGGGGCCCUUUCUUUAUCUUGUCCUACCCAGGUGAAUCUUUCCCACAGGCAGGCUUGGAUAGUGCUAACUAGAAAGAGCUAUUUCCCCCCAUCCCGAGUUGUUUCGUCUUUCUAUUGUAGUCCAGAGAUCAUAAUGAAGAAGAGCCUAGCUGUGAAGGGAUAAAAGAAAGUAUCCCUUCAGUCUUUUUUGGCAGACAUGAGACUUUGGAUCAGUAUCAGUUCAGCCUAGGAUUGGGCUAGUUACUGUCUUCUUUUGUUUCCGUCCCCUAGAAAUUAGUAAACGCAUUGAAAGAAGCAUUUUUCAGAGACAAAGUCCUAGUUGAGUACCUAUUUAUUUACAAUGCACUUAAGCACUCUGUAACUUAUACUUUACCAGGAUUUUGGUUGAGUUUACAUGCAAUUUAAAUCUGUAACUAACUGCCCAAAUGCAAGGUAAUUGUAAAUACACACACUGGUAGUAUAUUUUGGGUUAAGUUGAAUACCACACUCCUUCAAUGACUGUGCAUUUGGUUUGUUGUUACAGGAAGCUGUCUUUCAGAGUUACAUCAAAAAUCAGCCAUUUGCACUGAACAUACUUAGGCUGUUGCACCUUUCCAAAGUUAGCCAGUUGUUUGGAGGCACUCUUAUGCAUACUUGUUGUUGAGCAUUUUCAGUUUAAUGCUAUAAAAGCUCUUUUGUAACGUGUUGGCUUUGAGAGCUACUGUAGACAAGCUAGUUCUUAUAAUUAUAGAUGUCUCGGUACUUUACAGACACUUAGCUGAAAGAGGUUUGGGUUUUUCGUUCUUGAAAUUUAUAUUUUUAUAAUUUGGGGAUUUUUGAAUCUUAUUUUGCAAUGGCUUGGUGUUUUGAAUGGGUUUAUGCAUUGUUUUUGUAAAUAUGGAAAUGUAGCAAUAAUGUCCUUUUGACUAUUCUCAGUCCUUGAGUCUCAAAAAUAUUUUUUUAUAUAUAUAUAUGCAAAAACUAUAUGUAUAAACAUGUAAGUGUUUGAAAGUUUAUGAAACACUUAUGGAUAUGUUGCUCGGUUGUAGAAUUGCAGUUCAGAAAAGUUCAAAUAAAUCUGUAAA
RNAcentral lists this long non-coding RNA (1379 nucleotides) under Strigops habroptila (Kakapo). RNAcentral describes it as "lncRNA (ENSSHBG00005020148.1)". The record is from RNAcentral. Lineage: Eukaryota; Metazoa; Chordata; Aves; Psittaciformes; Psittacidae.